RNAcentral lists this ribosomal RNA (212 nucleotides) under uncultured bacterium. RNAcentral's name for it is "partial 16S ribosomal RNA". It matches the Rfam family "Bacterial small subunit ribosomal RNA", at positions 122 to 334 of the family's 1533-position model. The record is from RNAcentral.
UAACCUGCCUCAUACAGGGGGAUAGCAGCUGGAAACGGCUGAUAAAACCGCAUAAGCGCACAGCAUCGCAUGAUGCAGUGUGAAAAACUCCGGUGGUAUGAGAUGGACCCGCGUCUGAUUAGCUGGUUGGUGAGGUAACGGCCCACCAAGGCGACGAUCAGUAGCCGGCCUGAGAGGGUGACCGGCCACAUUGGGACUGAGACACGGCCCAA